UCUCCUGUAGUCUCAGUGGUAGAGCGUCCCACUGGUGUGGAGAAGGUCAUAGGUUCGACUCCUGUUGGGAGAA
Molecule: non-coding RNA, 73 nt
Organism: Desmophyllum pertusum
Lineage: Eukaryota; Metazoa; Cnidaria; Anthozoa; Scleractinia; Caryophylliidae
Source: the annotation of a GenBank genome assembly